This 551-nucleotide small RNA is filed under the name Pan troglodytes (chimpanzee). RNAcentral's name for it is "processed transcript". Lineage: Eukaryota; Metazoa; Chordata; Mammalia; Primates; Hominidae. The record is from RNAcentral.
AAACCUUUUUGAGGUGAGAUCUGGCUGUGUUGCCCAGGCUGGAGUGCAGUGGCUGUUCAUAGCUUUUAAAAGCAGUCCAUCUUCAAGGCCAUGAAGGACCUGUUUAUGCGGUGCAUGCUAUUUACCAGAGGAGGACAUCAGAUCCUGCAUUAUGUACACUGAUCGUUUCUGCAGCUGCAGAUUCUGCUGUUCGACUCUGGUCUAAAAAGGGUCCAGAAGUAAUGUGCCUUCAGACUUUAAACUUUGGAAAUGGAUUUGCUUUGGCUCUCUGCUUGUCUUUUUUGCCAAAUACUGAUGUACCAAUAUUAGCAUGUGGUGAUGAUGAUUGCAGAAUUCACAUAUUUGCUCAACAAAAUGAUCAGUUUCAGAAAGUGCUUUCUCUCUGUGGACAUGAGGAUUGGAUUAGAGGAGUGGAAUGGGCAGCCUUUGGUAGAGAUCUUUUCCUAGCAAGCUGUUCACAAGAUUGCCUGAUAAGAAUAUGGAAGCUGUAUAUAAAGUCAACAUCUUUAGAAACUCAGGAUGACGAUAACAUAAGACUGAAAGAAAAUACU